AGGACGAACGCUGGCGGCGUGCUUAACACAUGCAAGUCGAACGGAAAGGCCCUGCUUUGUGGGGUGCUCGAGUGGCGAACGGGUGAGUAACACGUGAGUAACCUGCCCUUGACUUUGGGAUAACUUCAGGAAACUGGGGCUAAUACCGGAUAGGAGCUCCUGCUGCAUGGUGGGGGUUGGAAAGUUUCGGCGGUUGGGGAUGGACUCGCGGCUUAUCAGCUUGUUGGUGGGGUAGUGGCUUACCAAGGCUUUGACGGGUAGCCGGCCUGAGAGGGUGACCGGCCACAUUGGGACUGAGAUACGGCCCAGACUCCUACGGGAGGCAGCAGUGGGGAAUAUUGCACAAUGGGCGGAAGCCUGAUGCAAGCAACGCCGCGUGCGGGAUGACGGCCUUCGGGUUGUAAACCGCUUUCGCCUGUGACGAAGCGUGAGUGACGGUAAUGGGUAAAGAAGCACCGGCUAACUACGUGCCAGCCGCUGC
RNAcentral lists this ribosomal RNA (481 nucleotides) under uncultured bacterium. RNAcentral's name for it is "bacterial SSU rRNA". It matches the Rfam family "Bacterial small subunit ribosomal RNA", at positions 26 to 518 of the family's 1533-position model. The record is from RNAcentral.